Molecule: small nucleolar RNA, 133 nt
Organism: Periophthalmus magnuspinnatus
Lineage: Eukaryota; Metazoa; Chordata; Actinopteri; Gobiiformes; Gobiidae
Source: RefSeq, a predicted model, not a curated record
AUUGAGGUCGGUCCUGAUUAGUCUUCUCUGUAGACAGUAUCACGGGAAACGCCUCAAAAAGCAAAUCUGUAGCCUCGCUUUACCCAUACGGUCACCAUUUCUUGAUCUUGUGGGAUAAUGCUGCAGUACAGAC